Molecule: non-coding RNA, 422 nt
Organism: Urocitellus parryii (Arctic ground squirrel)
Lineage: Eukaryota; Metazoa; Chordata; Mammalia; Rodentia; Sciuridae
Source: RefSeq, a predicted model, not a curated record
UUGUGUUGCUGCAAUAGCAAUCUUGCUAAGUACAAUAGGACAUGGAAAAGCUUGGCUCAGAAACUAAUGGACUGCAGCUACCAUCUGUGGGAUUGAAACUAAAYGCCUCUAAAAGAAAUACUCAUAAAUGUAACUAGCCAUCUUGUUGAUUAGCYUUCUGGUGGACUGGAUUCCAGUUGCCUAAUGGACUGCACGACCUCUCUCUCUGGAAGCCAGUAAGAGUGAUUUGUACAUGCACGCCUACUCACAGGUAUAGACAUCAUUCAACUAAACUUCACAGAGCUGAGGUUUGAAAUGGAGUUGGAUUGGCAGCAAAGCAUUCAUUGAAUGUUACUCAAGCCAGGAGAUGGAUAUGUUGUCCAGGACAGAACUCUUUGGAUGUGGGACAUGGCUGGGAGCCUGCCAUUUCCUGGUUAGCCUCA